Molecule: ribosomal RNA, 742 nt
Filed under: Streptococcus salivarius
Lineage: Bacteria; Bacillati; Bacillota; Bacilli; Lactobacillales; Streptococcaceae
Description: bacterial SSU rRNA
Rfam family: Bacterial small subunit ribosomal RNA
Source: RNAcentral
UGCAGUAGACGCUGAGAGAGGAGCUUGCUCUUCUUGGAUGAGUUGCGAACGGGUGAGUAACGCGUAGGUAACCUGCCUUGUAGCGGGGGAUAACUAUUGGAAACGAUAGCUAAUACCGCAUAACAAUGGAUGACUCAUGUCAUUUAUUUGAAAGGGGCAAAUGCUCCACUACAAGAUGGACCUGCGUUGUAUUAGCUAGUAGGUGAGGUAACGGCUCACCUAGGCGACGAUACAUAGCCGACCUGAGAGGGUGAUCGGCCACACUGGGACUGAGACACGGCCCAGACUCCUACGGGAGGCAGCAGUAGGGAAUCUUCGGCAAUGGGGGCAACCCUGACCGAGCAACGCCGCGUGAGUGAAGAAGGUUUUCGGAUCGUAAAGCUCUGUUGUAAGUCAAGAACGAGUGUGAGAGUGGAAAGUUCACACUGUGACGGUAGCUUACCAGAAAGGGACGGCUAACUACGUGCCAGCAGCCGCGGUAAUACGUAGGUCCCGAGCGUUGUCCGGAUUUAUUGGGCGUAAAGCGAGCGCAGGCGGUUUGAUAAGUCUGAAGUUAAAGGCUGUGGCUCAACCAUAGUUCGCUUUGGAAACUGUCAAACUUGAGUGCAGAAGGGGAGAGUGGAAUUCCAUGUGUAGCGGUGAAAUGCGUAGAUAUAUGGAGGAACACCGGUGGCGAAAGCGGCUCUCUGGUCUGUAACUGACGCUGAGGCUCGAAAGCGUGGGGAGCGAACAGGAUUAGAUA